RNAcentral lists this ribosomal RNA (398 nucleotides) under uncultured Vagococcus sp. RNAcentral's name for it is "bacterial SSU rRNA". It matches the Rfam family "Bacterial small subunit ribosomal RNA", at positions 1118 to 1515 of the family's 1533-position model. Lineage: Bacteria; Bacillati; Bacillota; Bacilli; Lactobacillales; Enterococcaceae. The record is from RNAcentral.
CCAUCAUUAAAGUUGGGGCACUCUAGCGAGACUGCCGGUGACAAACCGGAGGAAGGUGGGGAUGACGUCAAAUCAUCAUGCCCCUUAUGCCCUGGGCUACACACGUGCUACAAUGGACAGUACAAUGAGCAGCGACACGGCGACGUGAAGCGAAUCUCAUAAAGCUGUUCUCAGUUCGGAUUGUAGGCUGCAACUCGCCUACAUGAAGCCGGAAUCGCUAGUAAUCGCGGAUCAGCACGCCGCGGUGAAUACGUUCCCGGGCCUUGUACACACCGCCCGUCACACCACGAAAGUUUGUAACACCCGAAGUCGGUGAGGUAACCGCAAGGAGCCAACCGCCUAAGGUGGGAUAGAUGAUUGGGGUGAAGUCGUAACAAGGUAACCAAGGGCGAAUUCUG